Molecule: ribosomal RNA, 866 nt
Filed under: uncultured Pseudomonadales bacterium
Lineage: Bacteria; Pseudomonadati; Pseudomonadota; Gammaproteobacteria; Pseudomonadales
Description: bacterial SSU rRNA
Rfam family: Bacterial small subunit ribosomal RNA
Source: RNAcentral
AUUGAACGCUGGCGGCAGGCCUAACACAUGCAAGUCGAGCGGAUGAAGGGAGCUUGCUCCUGGAUUCAGCGGCGGACGGGUGAGUAAUGCCUAGGAAUCUGCCUGGUAGUGGGGGAUAACGUCCGGAAACGGGCGCUAAUACCGCAUACGUCCUGAGGGAGAAAGUGGGGGAUCUUCGGACCUCACGCUAUCAGAUGAGCCUAGGUCGGAUUAGCUAGUUGGUGGGGUAAAGGCCUACCAAGGCGACGAUCCGUAACUGGUCUGAGAGGAUGAUCAGUCACACUGGAACUGAGACACGGUCCAGACUCCUACGGGAGGCAGCAGUGGGGAAUAUCGGACAAUGGGCGAAAGCCUGAUCCAGCCAUGCCGCGUGUGUGAAGAAGGUCUUCGGAUUGUAAAGCACUUUAAGUUGGGAGGAAGGGCAGUAAGUUAAUACCUUGCUGUUUUGACGUUACCAACAGAAUAAGCACCGGCUAACUUCGUGCCAGCAGCCGCGGUAAUACGAAGGGUGCAAGCGUUAAUCGGAAUUACUGGGCGUAAAGCGCGCGUAGGUGGUUCAGCAAGUUGGAUGUGAAAUCCCCGGGCUCAACCUGGGAACUGCAUCCAAAACUACUGAGCUAGAGUACGGUAGAGGGUGGUGGAAUUUCCUGUGUAGCGGUGAAAUGCGUAGAUAUAGGAAGGAACACCAGUGGCGAAGGCGACCACCUGGACUGAUACUGACACUGAGGUGCGAAAGCGUGGGGAGCAAACAGGAUUAGAUACCCUGGUAGUCCACGCCGUAAACGAUGUCGACUAGCCGUUGGGAUCCUUGAGAUCUUAGUGGCGCAGCUAACGCGAUUAGUCGACCGCCUGGGGAGUACGGCCGC